CAGCAACAGCACAUGAUGGAGACGAUGAUGAGGAGGAGACCAUCUCUCUGGAUUCCAGAAGGCAUGAGGACCCAGAUGCUAUACAGUGGGAAAACCAGCCUGGCAACAUAGUGCGUAUUAAUAAAAGGACACCACAUCCUGCCAAAUUCCAGCUGCGCUAAUUGUAUUGUGUUCACAGAGCUCACAAGCUAUCAGAAAGUUGUAUGGCAACCACCUCCGGCGCCAAAUAGAACUGGCAGACAUAGACAUUCAGUACAAGAAGAAAAAGAUGGAAAAUCUUGCACUGGAGUCCGAAAUAAAAAAGAGGACAAUUAGGAAACUGGACCUUGAAAUAAAAAAAACUUGAGAGGGAGCUCCAAGAAGAUGACACAGCUCAAAAUAAAAAUUAGGUAUAUUCUCGUAAAGUCAAGUGAGCCAUGACAUAUGAGCUCUUAUAGUGAGCACACAGGACGGUGGCAUCUUUCUAAGUUUUUUUUAUUUUCCCAGCAAUCAGUACAACCAAGUCAUCGUUAUAAGGCAUCGCCCUCUUUUGCCCACCCCCCCAGCACCAGGUGUGGCCACUAGCCUAUAUGAAGGCCCAAAAUUGUGUGUUCCUUUCUGCUCUGACAAUGGCAUGCCCAUUCGUGCGAGAUGUGGUGGAUGAAGAAGCACUUGUGCUGAGGAGAGCCUUCAGGCGAGAAAGGGUCUUCAGGGACCGGUUGGACCCACUGGCCUUCCCUGAUGACCAUCUAUAUGAAAGAUACAGGUUUUCUGCAGACUACUGGGUCCCAGGAUUAAGCACCGCACUGCACGGAGCCAUGCACUGAGUGUGGAGCAAAUGGUUUGUGUGGCCUUGCGCUUUUUUGCUAGUGGAGCCUUCCUGUACUCAGUGGGGGAUGCAGAAGAGCUGAACAAGGCCACAAUUUGGCGCACAAUAAGGAGUGUGUGUCUGGCUAUCAAAGCAUUAGCAGAUGUCUUCAUCUCCUUCCCUGGCCACAGAAGACUCUGUGACAUCAAAGAGGAGUUCUAUAGGAUUGCAGAUGGUCUGCAAUGCUGACUGUGUGAUCAGCAAUGUUGUGGCAAAAUGGCCUGGCUCAGUCCAUGACUCCAGAAUCUUUCGGGCCUCUG
Long non-coding RNA from Oncorhynchus masou masou (cherry salmon), 1107 nucleotides. RefSeq lists it as uncharacterized. The record is from RefSeq and is a predicted model, not a curated record. The transcript is spliced from 4 exons. Lineage: Eukaryota; Metazoa; Chordata; Actinopteri; Salmoniformes; Salmonidae.